Long non-coding RNA from Stylophora pistillata, 792 nucleotides. NCBI's taxonomy places the organism in Eukaryota, Metazoa, Cnidaria, Anthozoa, Scleractinia, Pocilloporidae. The record is from RefSeq and is a predicted model, not a curated record.
GAAUAAGGAUUAUUUAGGGUUCACAAUUAACUAAGAGUAAUUAAUAUUUUUACCUGCAAUGGGAGCAAGGAAAAAGAAGGAUUAAUUACAGGUAGACUUAUGUUAGACUGCUUCAUUGAAUUUUAACUAGUCUUUGUUAAAUUUUAUGUCGCAGAUAUAGACGAAUGUUCCACAAACUCCCAUAGCUGUGACGCCAGCGCUAUUUGCUGUAAUAGUCAAGGAUCCCAUAGCUGCGCAUGUAAAGCUGGGUAUUCGGGGAAUGGGAAAACUUGCGUUGAUAUAGACGAAUAUUCCACAAACUCCCACAGCUGUGACGCCAGCGCUAUUUGCAGUAAUAUUCAAGGGUCCCAUAGCUGCGCAUGUAAAGCUGGGUAUUCGGGAAAUGGAAAAACUUGCGUUGCUCUAACGUACUAGAGAAAUCGGAUGGAUCACAAGUCAUCUGGACGCUACACACUACAACCUGUAUGCAUCACCCCGCUGUUUUACUGAUGCCAUCGUGCGUAUUUACAAAAGCCAGCAAGGCUAUCAAAAGUUUAACCAUAAAUCUUCUGUUAACGGUCGUUUUCAUUAAGCUAACUUCAUAUUGCGUCAAAAAAUGGGCCUGACAAAAUAUAGAGACUUUGCAUGCUUGUGAGUAUAGUCUAUAUGGAGAUAUGAGCUGAAAAAAUAUAAAUCAAAGGAAAUUGAAGCAUCUUUAACAAAUGUUGUCAUAUCGAGUUCAGAACAUCAUCAUUUGAGCUCUAUGAUGGGUACUAGGUUUUCAAAGAAAAAAAUCACCUUUAUUUUGCUAAA